GUGGGGAAUAUUGGACAAUAGGGGCAACCCUGAUCCAGCCAUGCCGCGUGAAUGAUGAAGGCCUUCGGGUUGUAAAGUUCUUUUGGAGGGGACGAUGAUGACGGUACCCUCAGAAUAAGCUCCGGCUAACUUCGUGCCAGCAGCCGCGGUAAUACGAAGGGAGCUAGCGUUGUUCGGAAUUACUGGGCGUAAAGGGCGCGUAGGCGGUUUGGUUAGUCAGAUGUGAAAGCCCAGGGCUUAACCCUGGAACUGCGUUUGAUACUGCCAAGCUUGAAUUCGGGAGAGGUGAGUGGAAUUCCCAGUGUAGAGGUGAAAUUCGUAGAUAUUGGGAAGAACACCGGUGGCGAAGGCGGCUCACUGGACCGACAUUGACGCUGAGGCGCGAAAGCGUGGGGAGCAAACAGGAUUAGAAACCCUGGUAGUCC
RNAcentral lists this ribosomal RNA (425 nucleotides) under uncultured bacterium. RNAcentral describes it as "partial 16S ribosomal RNA". It matches the Rfam family "Bacterial small subunit ribosomal RNA", at positions 354 to 796 of the family's 1533-position model. The record is from RNAcentral.